This 292-nucleotide ribosomal RNA is filed under the name Microbacterium sp. SUBG005. Its description in RNAcentral is "partial 23S ribosomal RNA". It matches the Rfam family "Bacterial large subunit ribosomal RNA", at positions 2651 to 2925 of the family's 2925-position model. Lineage: Bacteria; Bacillati; Actinomycetota; Actinomycetes; Micrococcales; Microbacteriaceae. The record is from RNAcentral.
GCGCUGGAGAAUUGAGGGGGGCUGCUCCUAGUACGAGAGGACCGGAGUGGACGCAUCACUGGUGUUCGGGUUGUCAUGCCAAUGGCACUGCCCGGUAGCUAAAUGCGGAAGAGAUAAGUGCUGAAAGCAUCUAAGCACGAAACUUGCCCCGAGAUGAGUUCUCCCUGAGACUUUAAGUCUCCUGAAGGAACGUUAAAGACGAUGACGUUGAUAGGUCGGGUGUGUAAGCGCAGCGAUGCGUUGAGCUAACCGAUACUAAUGAACCGUGAGGCUUAACCUUACAACGCCGAAG